GCCGGGGUGCCUGAGUGGUUAAAGGGCUGGCCUCGAGAGCCAGUGGGCCUCGGCCCUCAAGGGUUCGAAUCCCUUCCCCGGCG
Molecule: transfer RNA, 83 nt
Filed under: Nitrososphaerota archaeon
Lineage: Archaea; Thermoproteati; Nitrososphaerota
Also listed under: 1 other name
Description: tRNA-Ser
Rfam family: tRNA
About the family: Transfer RNA (tRNA) molecules are approximately 80 nucleotides in length. Their secondary structure includes four short double-helical elements and three loops (D, anti-codon, and T loops).
Source: RNAcentral